UCAAUCGCAGCUGCCCCUAUUAUCUAAUUCCACCAUCUCUUUUUCUCUUUCUGAAUAUGUAUUCAACUUCCUACACUUUGAUAGUAAGUAGAAGAUGAAUGACCCUGAUUUCAGUGCUACAGAAGACGAUGAUAAGUCCAAGAAAAAAUUGAAUCGAAACGGUAAUUGAUGAAUGGAACAGCCGUAUUUGUGUUGUUUGCACAAUCAAUUGUGCUUAUUGACGAUCUUUUUUUUUCUAUCAUGUUUUUGUGAAAAAUGAGUGUAGUCCAGAAGAAAUGGACUCCGAUUGAUGAUAUGACUUUGAAAGAUGGGAUACAGGGGAGCUCUAAUUUUCAGAAGCUGGCUCGUUCGCUUCGCUUCUCUGUUCGUUUUACGGCGUUCGAAUUGGAACAGCGAUGGCGUCAAUUGCUGUAUGACCCUGAAAUAUCUGAAAUGAGCACACGUGCUAUGUCAGAGUUGCCUUACUGCUUGAAGAGGGCUAUGUGGUCUGAGAAGGAAGAGGAAAUUAUCAUUCGCGAAAUCAACGAAGGCGUUUUGAGUUUCCAGGCCAUAUUGGAUAACUACAGACCAUUUUUUCAUCCAGUGCGAAGCGCCAGGUCUAUAGAGGCGCAUUGCAUUAAAAAAAAACUUGGAAAGCAUCGAGAAAUAGGUGGAAAUGCCUCUAAAAAAAUGAAAAUGGCAAAAGCUGAGGAGACAGUACAAAUACAACCACCUUCAUCACCUAAAGAUUUGACCCUUCCUCCAGACCAAGACGAAAAUGUCUGCAGAAACAUUGACUGGGAUAAGCACCCGGACUGCAUAGCCUACUUGUUUUGGAAAUCAAUCAUUUAUUUAAAUGGAGAAAAAGAGGUGGUGAUUGGGCGCUGCAAGAAUGACACAGUCGACGUUAAUUUGAGAGAUGAGGAAGGGAACGCUGCAAAAAUAUCGCGAAGACAAGCUAUUAUUUUGUAUGAUGCUGAUUUGAAGACAUUUUCGUUGAAAAAUAUUGGGAAGGCUCACGUGAUGGUCAACGACCAGGAGGUUGACAGAGAAGGAUCUGUUAUUCUUCCCUCGAAAUGUGUUCUUUCUUUCAACGAGUUCAAAUUGAUAUUUCAGAUGGUAACACCUCGAAAAAAGCAGCAAAUCUCGGAUUUUGAAGUCUAAGCAUUCAAUGUUUGCAAGAAAUCAAUGAAUGGUAUUUUGAACUGGAUUAGAAUAGAAGCUGCGGGUGAUACUUACGCACUAGGCUUUUGCACUUUGUGUGGAUAUGGCUGCGCAUGAGUAAAAGAACCAAGCUAGUGUGUAUUUAUUAACAUCUUUUUUUAUAUCAAAAACCCAUAAAAAUCUUAGAAGGUUGUCUUUCACUAUUCAGUUUAUGAAUGCCACAGCAGUAGGUAAUGUGUUUUUUUACAAUAAACAAUAUAUAUGAAAAAAGAACGUUUGGUUUGUUUUAGUUGACCUGGUGAUUUUUAGAGCGUGCUGUCUGUGCCACAAUAAGUUUGCAUAUAAGCUGUCGUUGGGUAAUAUCGUUUCACUUUUCCUCUCUUCGAAUGGUGAUGCAACCUCGGAGAAGCUAAAUGAAAUGUGUUUUAUGUUGACCAUAUGCCACAACUUUGACAGAAAGGCAUAGCACACACUUUCAGGGCAUCGAUCUUUUUGUUGUACUCGAAGUGGGCUGUUCUUUUUCCGCUGUCUCUUUAUCAGAAAGCUUUUUCUGAGCCAGCGCUAUGUUUUGGAGCUUCGAGGGAUGUUUGAUAUCUGUUAAUGUAAUACACGUGACAGCUUUGUGAUGCCCGGAAAAUUGGGCGAUGGGCUUUUCUUCGUUAAUAUCCCACAGAUAGGCCAAAUUGUCG
Molecule: long non-coding RNA, 1832 nt
Organism: Schistocerca gregaria
Lineage: Eukaryota; Metazoa; Arthropoda; Insecta; Orthoptera; Acrididae
Exons: 4
Source: RefSeq, a predicted model, not a curated record